CCGGCUCAUUUCGUCUCACGUCUAGGGUACUGACAUUGAAUGAGUUGUCAUGCAGACCAUUUAAUUUCGUACCCUGGACGUUAUGCGAAUGCUCCUGCUU
RNAcentral lists this microRNA precursor (100 nucleotides) under Haemonchus contortus (barber pole worm). RNAcentral's name for it is "microRNA hco-mir-5884 precursor". Lineage: Eukaryota; Metazoa; Nematoda; Chromadorea; Rhabditida; Trichostrongylidae. The record is from miRBase by way of RNAcentral.